GUGCAUUCCUCUUUGGCCACCUUCGCAUCCUCGGAGCUCUCGAAGUACACGAAUGAGAAUCCACGCGAUUUUCCAGUCUAUACGCAAUAAUCAAUCAAUAAUAACACUAAUAAUGUCCAUACUUGGAAAAGAUGUGAUACAACUCAACCUCGGUAGUAUACACGCUAAGACCAAAGACUCCCAGACACCCAGAAGGUUUGGGAUUAUCACGGGGGCCUAUAUGCCGCCGUCGUGAAGACAUCGGGCUGUGGGAUGGUGAACGGCGCCCGCCGUAUGAACGUGAACGAGAGCGUGAAUAACGCGACACUUUGUAGUGCUUAUCAGACCGCGAUCGGCUUCUUGAUCUACAACAAACAUUUCAGAUGAAAAACAAACUAAAUUCAUAUAAGUUUAAUUUAUCAGUACCUGUAUCUUCUGCUUUCCCUAUAUCUGUCGCGGUCAUCUCGUCCACCAUCACGUCGAUCGCGACGAUCCCGAUCACGAUCGUCACGAUAAUUACUCCCGCGACUCGGGCUUCGGUCGCGCUUUACUUUGUGACCACGCGGCGAUUCGUCGCGUCUAUCAUGAUGCGGCGACCUGUCGCGAUCCCUUUCUCGGUCCCGGUCGCCGUCGUUCAUUUGAAGAUGGUUGUGGUGAUUCGGCGGAGAUCGACUUAACUAUGACAUAAAUUCAAUUAGUAUUAUCACAAACUCAUUCACAUUUAUAGAAAUACUUGUGUAUCAGUCAUUAUGUAUGUGUAUGUUACGAGUUUUUGCAGACUUAGCGAAUUAUUAUAUGAGUUGUGCACCAGUCAUUUAACUGACAUAACUGUCGUUAUUUUGGAGACGCAAACAAACAAAAUAAAACACGCCGUGUGGAUUCUGGCAAAAAGUGUGCGGAAACGCAGCGAGCCUUGCCAGAAAUAGCCAUCACUUUCCCAAGUGCAUUUUGCGAAAAGCAAAACGCUGGCAAAUACACGAAUCUAGCACACAUAAAAA
Molecule: long non-coding RNA, 977 nt
Organism: Dalotia coriaria
Lineage: Eukaryota; Metazoa; Arthropoda; Insecta; Coleoptera; Staphylinidae
Exons: 2
Source: RefSeq, a predicted model, not a curated record